AUUUGCAUCUUUUAUAUCACUGGUACUGAGAAAUAGUCAUCAUAUUGCUCUAGUUUAUGGAGUAAAGGGGUCUGCACAGUUAUUUUGUUGAAGUUUAUGUUGCUUCCUAUAAAUGUUUGAAGUUUGGACCCGUACCUACAAUUCUACUUCUAGACAAUGGGCUGAAUGUAAUUGGUUCAGAUUAAAUUGGUGCAAGUUUGUUCAGUUUAUCAACCAGACAAUGAUAAGGUGCUGAGAUUUGUUAUCAGAGAUGAAAAUUGUGUUAGAAUGAAGAUCAUGUUCUAGUAGAAGUUUUGGUCUGGCACUUCCCUUUGUUUGAGUUUCACAUACACACAUUGUGGCAACAAUGUUACUCUUAUGAUUUGUUUAGGUGUUUAGUUCUUUACUAGUACAUUGUGUAAUUUUGGUAUUCUACAAAUUUG
RNAcentral lists this long non-coding RNA (422 nucleotides) under Trifolium pratense (red clover). RNAcentral's name for it is "long non-coding RNA (TPRA_LNC001691)". The record is from RNAcentral. Lineage: Eukaryota; Viridiplantae; Streptophyta; Magnoliopsida; Fabales; Fabaceae.